This 426-nucleotide ribosomal RNA is filed under the name uncultured bacterium. RNAcentral's name for it is "bacterial SSU rRNA". It matches the Rfam family "Bacterial small subunit ribosomal RNA", at positions 354 to 796 of the family's 1533-position model. The record is from RNAcentral.
GCAAGGAAUUUUGUGCAAUGGGCGAAAGCCUGACACAGCGACGCCGCGUGGGGGAGGAAGGCCUUCGGGUCGUAAACCCCUUUUCUCAGGGAAGAAUAAUGACGGUACCUGAGGAAUAAGUCUCGGCUAACUACGUGCCAGCAGCCGCGGUAAUACGUAGGAGGCGAGCGUUAUCCGGAUUCACUGGGCGUAAAGCGGGUGCAGGCGGUUUGGCAAGUCAGGUGUGAAAUCUCUCGGCUUAACUGAGAGAAGCCAUUUGAUACUGCCGGGCUAGAGAACAGCAGAGGAAGAUGGAAUUCCCGGUGUAGUGGUGAAAUGCGUAGAUAUCGGGAGGAACACCAGUGGCGAAAGCGAUCUUCUGGGCUGUUUCUGACGCUGAGACCCAAAAGCGCGGGGAGCAAACAGGAUUAGAAACCCUAGUAGUCC